RNAcentral lists this ribosomal RNA (468 nucleotides) under uncultured bacterium. Its description in RNAcentral is "partial 16S ribosomal RNA". It matches the Rfam family "Bacterial small subunit ribosomal RNA", at positions 28 to 507 of the family's 1533-position model. The record is from RNAcentral.
GACGAACGCUGGCGGCGUGCUUAACACAUGCAAGUCGAACGGAAAGGCCCUGCUUUUGUGGGGUUCCCGAGUGGCGAACGGGUGAGUAACACGUGAGUAUCCUGCCCUUGACUUUCGGAUAUCUUCAGGAAACUGCGGCUAAUACCGGAUAGGAGCUCCUGCAGCAGGGUGGGCGUCGGACAUUUCCGGCGGUUGUGGAUGGACUCGCGGGUUACCAGCUUGUUGGGGGGGUAGUGGCUUACCCCGCCUUAGACGGAUAGCCUGCCUGAGAGCGUGGCCAGGGUCCAGACUACUAAGGUACGCCCCAGACGGGAACGGGAGGCAACGGGGGGAAAUAUGGCGCAGUGAGGCGGCGUGUGUGAAGACAGCGCUGCGUGCGGAAAGACGGUCUUCGGGGUGUAAACCGCUGUGGCCUGAGACGGAGCGUGAGUGACGGUAAUGGGUAAAGAAGCACCGGCUAACUACGUG